This 551-nucleotide ribosomal RNA is filed under the name uncultured archaeon. RNAcentral's name for it is "bacterial SSU rRNA". It matches the Rfam family "Archaeal small subunit ribosomal RNA", at positions 326 to 879 of the family's 1478-position model. The record is from RNAcentral.
CGGGGUGCAGCAGGCGCGAAACCUUAGCAAUGUGCGAAAGCACGACUAGGUUAAUCCGAGUGAUUUCUGCUGAAGAAAUCUUUUGUCAGUUUUAAAAGUACAGACGAAUAAGGGGUGGGCAAGUCUGGUGUCAGCCGCCGCGGUAAUACCAGCACCUCGAGUGGUCAGGAGGUUUAUUGGGCCUAAAGCAUCCGUAGCCGGCUAUGCAAGUCUCCGGUUAAAUCCAACUGCCUAACAGGUGGGCUGCCGGAGAUACUACACAGCUAGGGAGCGGGAGAGGUAGACGGUAUUCGGUGGGUAGGGGUAAAAUCCUCUGAUCCAUUGAGGACCACCAGUGGCGAAGGCGGUCUACCAGAACGCGUUCGACGGUGAGGGAUGAAAGCUGGGGGAGCAAACCGGAUUAGAUACCCGGGUAGUCCCAGCUGUAAACGAUGCAAACUCGGUGAUGCAUUGGCUUAUGGCCAAUGCAGUGCCGCAGGGAAGCCGUUAAGUUUGCCGCCUGGGAAGUACGGACGCAAGUCUGAAACUUAAAGGAAUUGGCGGGGGAGCAC